This 465-nucleotide ribosomal RNA is filed under the name uncultured Klebsiella sp. RNAcentral's name for it is "bacterial SSU rRNA". It matches the Rfam family "Bacterial small subunit ribosomal RNA", at positions 338 to 795 of the family's 1533-position model. Lineage: Bacteria; Pseudomonadati; Pseudomonadota; Gammaproteobacteria; Enterobacterales; Enterobacteriaceae. The record is from RNAcentral.
CCUACGGGUGGCAGCAGUGGGGAAUAUUGCACAAUGGGCGCAAGCCUGAUGCAGCCAUGCCGCGUGUGUGAAGAAGGCCUUCGGGUUGUAAAGCACUUUCAGCGGGGAGGAAGGCGGUGAGGUUAAUAACCUCAUCGAUUGACGUUACCCGCAGAAGAAGCACCGGCUAACUCCGUGCCAGCAGUCGCGGUAAUACGGAGGGUGCAAGCGUUAAUCGGAAUUACUGGGCGUAAAGCGCACGCAGGCGGUCUGUCAAGUCGGAUGUGAAAUCCCCGGGCUCAACCUGGGAACUGCAUUCGAAACUGGCAGGCUAGAGUCUUGUAGAGGGGGGUAGAAUUCCAGGUGUAGCGGUGAAAUGCGUAGAGAUCUGGAGGAAUACCGGUGGCGAAGGCGGCCCCCUGGACAAAGACUGACGCUCAGGUGCGAAAGCGUGGGGAGCAAACAGGAUUAGAUACCCUUGUAGUC